This 142-nucleotide long non-coding RNA is filed under the name Cavia porcellus (domestic guinea pig). RNAcentral describes it as "lncRNA (ENSCPOG00000032972.1)". The record is from RNAcentral. Lineage: Eukaryota; Metazoa; Chordata; Mammalia; Rodentia; Caviidae.
UUCCCCUUAUUUCUGAAUAGGUUUCCUCAGCGGAUGGCCACCCCUCGCUAACCAAGGAUGGAGAGUUCUGGGUCUGUGGUGUCCCCAGUGAGUCACAGAGGCCAGGUACCUAACUCAGAUGUCCUCCAGCAGAACACUGGUG